UGGGUCUCCGCCACUUAAAACCACGUUCAUUGCAACAAUAUCAACUGGAGCAUAAAUAACAUAAGAGCCUGUGGAGUCGGUGCAACUCUCUUGAAGAAUCAGCAUGUUGCUCUGGCUUGAGUUUGCACUCUUUAAGGGAUUAUAAAGACGAGAAUGAAUGGCAAAAAAUGGUUUGAUUUGAUACCUCACUUCUAGAGUGCUCAUCGCGAAGAAAAUCAAAAACUCUCUUUGGAGGAACUGGGAUCCAAAACGAGGUUGCAGCACUUAACACGAUCCCAGGAGGCCUACCAGGAUCAUCCAUGCUCUUUCUGGUCAUAACCCUUACAUCAUCAGCUCCACUUCCUGAUAAUGUUGUCCACGUGUGCGCUGUCGAAGCACCAACACCAGUGCAAAAGCUCAUAACCAUCCUCUCAGCCAGUUUCAGCAUACUCUUCCUCCCCUCUGGACUUGUUAUAACUGUAACAAAAUUGACAACAAAAAUACUAGAAAUGGGAACAUUGUUUCUGUCAACUGAAUUUUUUUUUUUUUUUGUUGUCAUUUUUAUGUCUACAGAAUUAUUGUAGAGUUGAUUAGCAUGACAUGUGUCAAUAGUGAAAUGGUUUGAUUA
Non-coding RNA from Camellia sinensis, 607 nucleotides. NCBI's taxonomy places the organism in Eukaryota, Viridiplantae, Streptophyta, Magnoliopsida, Ericales, Theaceae. The record is from RefSeq and is a predicted model, not a curated record.